This 424-nucleotide ribosomal RNA is filed under the name uncultured cyanobacterium. RNAcentral's name for it is "bacterial SSU rRNA". It matches the Rfam family "Bacterial small subunit ribosomal RNA", at positions 357 to 795 of the family's 1533-position model. Lineage: Bacteria; Bacillati; Cyanobacteriota. The record is from RNAcentral.
GGGAAUUUUCCGCAAUGGGCGAAAGCCUGACGGAGCAAUACCGCGUGAGGGAGGAAGGCUCUUGGGUUGUAAACCUCUUUUCUCAGGGAAGAACAGAAUGACGGUACCUGAGGAAUAAGCAUCGGCUAACUCCGUGCCAGCAGCCGCGGUAAUACGGAGGAUGCAAGCGUUAUCCGGAAUGAUUGGGCGUAAAGAGUCCGUAGGUGGCAUUGAAAGUCUGCUGUUAAAGAGUCUAGCUCAACUAGAUAAGAGCAGUGGAAACUACAAAGCUAGAGUUUGGUCGGGGCAGAAGGAAUUCCUGGUGUAGCGGUGAAAUGCGUAGAUAUCAGGAAUAACACCAGUGGCGAAGGCGUUCUGCUAGGCCGAGACUGACACUGAGGGACGAAAGCUAGGGGAGCGAAUGGGAUUAGAUACCCCAGUAGUC